RNAcentral lists this ribosomal RNA (371 nucleotides) under uncultured organism. RNAcentral's name for it is "partial 16S ribosomal RNA". It matches the Rfam family "Bacterial small subunit ribosomal RNA", at positions 527 to 896 of the family's 1533-position model. The record is from RNAcentral.
GUACUGUGCAAACGUUGUUCGGAAUCACUGGGCUUAAAGGGUGCGUAGGCGGCUGUUCAAGUCGGGGUGUGAAAUCCCUCGGGCUCAACCGAGGAACUGCGCCCGAAACUGAACGGCUUGAGUGAGAUAGGGGUGUGCGGAACUUCCAGUGGAGCGGUGAAAUGUGUUGAUAUUGGAAGGAACACCGGUGGCGAAAGCGGCACACUGGGUCUCAACUGACGCUGAGGCACGAAAGCCAGGGGAGCGAACGGGAUUAGAUACCCCGGUAGUCCUGGCUGUAAACGAUGAGCACUAGACGGGAGGGGCUUCGGCCCAUCCGGUCGCAGCGAAAGCAAUAAGUGCUCCGCCUGGGGAGUAUGGUCGCAAGGCUG